AUUGAACGCUGGCGGCAUGCCUUACACAUGCAAGUCGAACGGCAGCACGGGUGCUUGCACCUGGUGGCGAGUGGCGAACGGGUGAGUAAUACAUCGGAACAUGUCCUGUAGCGGGGGAUAGCCCGGCGAAAGCCGGAUUAAUACCGCAUACGAUCUACGGAUGAAAGCGGGGGACCUUCGGGCCUCGCGCUAUAGGGUUGGCCGAUGGCUGAUUAGCUAGUUGGUGGGGUAAAGGCCUACCAAGGCGACGAUCAGUAGCUGGUCUGAGAGGACGACCAGCCACACUGGGACUGGGACACGGCCAAGACUACUACGGGAGGCAGCAGUGGGGAAUUUUGGACAAUGGGCGAAAGCCUGAUCCAGCAAUGCCGCGUGUGCGAAGAAGGCCUUCGGGUUGUAAAGCACUUUUGUCCGGAAAGAAAUCCUUGGCCCUAAUACGGUCGGGGGAUGACGGUACCGGAAGAAUAAGCACCGGCUAACUACGUG
RNAcentral lists this ribosomal RNA (486 nucleotides) under uncultured bacterium. RNAcentral's name for it is "partial 16S ribosomal RNA". It matches the Rfam family "Bacterial small subunit ribosomal RNA", at positions 30 to 507 of the family's 1533-position model. The record is from RNAcentral.